GCAUGGUCUUAGCUUGCUAAGGCUGAUGGCGACCGGCGCACGGGUGAGUAACACGUAUCCAACCUGCCGUCUACUCUUGGCCAGCCUUCUGAAAGGAAGAUUAAUCCAGGAUGGCAUCAUGAGUUCACAUGUCCGCAUGAUUAAAGGUAUUUUCCGGUAGACGAUGGGGAUGCGUUCCAUUAGAUAGUAGGCGGGGUAACGGCCCACCUAGUCAACGAUGGAUAGGGGUUCUGAGAGGAAGGUCCCCCACAUCGGAACUGAGACACGGUCCAAACUCCUACGGGAGGCAGCAGUGAGGAAUAUUGGUCAAUGGGCGAUGGCCUGAACCAGCCAAGUAGCGUGAAGGAUGACUGCCCUAUGGGUUGUAAACUUCUUUUAUAAAGGAAUAAAGUCGGGUAUGCAUACCCGCUUGCAUGUACUUUAUGAAUAAGGAUCGGCUAACUCCGUGCCAGCAGCCGCGGUAAUACGGAGGAUCCGAGCGUUAUCCGGAUUUAUUGGGUUUAAAGGGAGCGUAGAUGGAUGUUUAAGUCAGUUGUGAAAGUUUGCGGCUCAACCGUAAAAUUGCAGUUGAUACUGGAUGUCUUGAGUGCAGUUGAGGCAGGCGGAAUUCGUGGUGUAGCGGUGAAAUGCUUAGAUAUCACGAAGAACUCCGAUUGCGAAGGCAGCCUGCUAAGCUGCAACUGACAUUGAGGCUCGAAAGUG
Molecule: ribosomal RNA, 702 nt
Filed under: uncultured Bacteroidales bacterium
Lineage: Bacteria; Pseudomonadati; Bacteroidota; Bacteroidia; Bacteroidales
Description: bacterial SSU rRNA
Rfam family: Bacterial small subunit ribosomal RNA
Source: RNAcentral